RNA transcript from Stegostoma tigrinum, 2912 nucleotides. It is a transcript of the gene named alkaline ceramidase 2, with no coding region annotated. NCBI's taxonomy places the organism in Eukaryota, Metazoa, Chordata, Chondrichthyes, Orectolobiformes, Stegostomatidae. The transcript is spliced from 7 exons. The record is from RefSeq and is a predicted model, not a curated record.
UCAUUCAACAUCCGAAACAGCGUUUGUUCCUUUUAGGGGGUUGGGGGCUGGGAAGGAGAUAAGCAAUGCCCAUCCCGACUCAGGAGCACAGAGACAGCCCACUACCCACAGGAGGCGAGCCGGUGACCCUGGGGCUGGUGAGUAAAAGAUCCGCCUGAGCCAGUUCAAGGAGAGACGGCAACCCAUGCAGUGUGAUUCGUAUGAAAGGGAAACCCGGGCUCAGGAAACUUAAAAAAAAACACGCACAUCCACGCUGGGACCAUCUUGAGUGACACUGCAGGAAAAGGGAGAGCUAGCUCAUUCCUGAGCCUUGCCCUUGUGCAUCGAAGAGCUGAUGUGAACAGAAACUGCUGAAGCUGACUCUGAAAACUAAGAGGGAAGGAGACAGGUCUUUGGAGCUCUAACUGGAAACAAAGCUGGGUUAAUAAAGUCAAAACCAUGAGCCAAUUUUGGAACCAAUUGCAGGCUGGCAGUUCAGAAGUGGACUGGUGUGAGGGAAAUUACAUGAUUGUCUCAAACAUUGCUGAAUUUUACAACACGAUCAGCAAUAUUUUAUUUUUUGUGUUGCCACCGAUAUGCAUGUAUUUGUUUCGACAAUAUGCAACAUGUUUCAACAGUGGGAUAUAUCUAAUUUGGACUUUGCUUGUUGUUGUAGGUAUAGGCUCAGUUUAUUUUCAUGCAACUUUGAGUUUCAUUGGACAGAUGUUAGAUGAACUAGCAAUCCUUUGGGUUCUGAUGUGUGCCCUGGCUAUGUGGUUCCCCAGACGAUAUUUACCAAGGAUUUUUCAACGAGACAGGAGUCGAUUUAAGGCUGCUGUUGGCAUUCUGUCUGGUGUUGCCACAUGUCUUGCAUUUGUGAAACCAGCAAUUAACAACAUCUCAUUGAUGACAUUAGGAGUUCCCUGUACAGCUCUUCUUGUGGCUGAAUUAAGAAGGUGUGAAAAUGUCCGUGUUUACAAGCUGGGUCUCUUGGCAGGUUUUUGGUGGGCUCUCGCUAUACUGUGCUGGAUUAGUGACAACCUUUUCUGUGAACUCUGGUCUGCAUUCAACUUCCCGUACCUACAUUGUGCCUGUGCAGCCCUCAAUGCUUCAUUUCUGAAAAAAGGGUGGAAAUCUGUGCAUACUGUGAAAACCUGAAGAAAAAUCCACCUCCCAAAAGGGUUAUUUUUCUGCUUGGUCAGACUUGCAAUGAAAUUUAAGGUUGAGGUUGGGAUUGCCUAAUACUGUUUCAUCGCUGGUGAAUACAUCCUAAAUCGGAGCUUCGAGUAUCAGUGUCAGAAAAUUGAGGUAGAUGCAAAUGAGUGGUGACAAGAUUUAAAUUUCACAUUUAAACCUACAACCCUUUGCUGUGUGUGUCCGUGGAUAAAAUCUUUAGGUCUGUACUCAGAGACACAGAGUGGCAAAUUAAACAUCUCUCAGAUUUGAUAAGGAUCAGCUGGAAAUGAGUUCAGUUUGCCCAUUAUGGGUAUAAUAUUGGAAAAGAUGUAGCAUGGAUUUCUUAGGCUGCCACCAGGGAAAAGGGGUCAGGGGUCAUGAUCAAAAACUUGAGAAAUUAUAAAUAUUUUCACUUGAUGGGUACAUAACUGCAUUUCUUUUGUAGAAAUGUAACCAUUAACUACCUACUACCUGAGACUACUUUGUAUCAUUUAUAGGUCUGUCCUAUAAAUUUGUGAUGAUAUUUCAAGGUGUUGCAGUUUUAGUUAGUUCCUUUCUCUCUGCUAUAUCAAUUAUCCACAAUAAUGUCAGUCAAAACAAUGACCUCCACUAUUAAGCUGAUAAGCUGCUUUGAUAUAAACAUUAUUUCAAGAACAGCAUUCUUGCACUUAAAAAAUUAUUUUUCCAAGUUUUCGAAAUUAUCAGCCAUAUUUGGUGAUAAAGUAUAUUUUGCUUUUCAGAAAUCAUUAUUUAUAAAGCAAAUGAUGCAAAUACUUAUUUCAUUAUGAAUCAUGAGUUGCUUUAGGAUUUGGAACUAGUAAUUUAAUUUUAAAUGGAAAUAAACAUUAAUUGGAUUUAUAGUAAGCAUAAUUUUAACUAAUGUGCUAAAAUCCAUUUAGAAUUAAUUCUGUAUGUGUAUUUUUAUAUGUCCGCUUUAAAAAUGAUUGGGAUAGAAUGCUUGGUGAUGAAUGAAAUCUUGGUUAAAUUAAAAAAUUUUCAAAACAAAUUUGUUUCAUUUUUGGCUCCUUAAAAUUGCUAUAAUAGAGAAAACAGCUCUGAAUCUGCAAAGUUUUCUUGCAUAGUUUUCAGGCUUCAUUUAUUUCUGCUUCCCAAGAUAUUUUAGUAGUUAUUCCCAAGACUUUACCUUGGUUUGCAACAUACUCAAAUGACAUUCCCCCAGUAUCACUCUGUUACUUGCUGCUGAGAGUUAUAUGUCGCUGGUUUCCUCCGACCAAAAGUUCAUAGGUUUGUAUUCAGAUUUCCUGCUCUCAUCCAGCUUCUCCCAAUGUUGCAUCUGAAAUUAGAGAAUAGCAGUUGCAACUUAUACUGUAAAGUUUUAGGUGGCAUUAAAGCUACGAAUGCAUGGCACUAUCCCUCUUGUUAUGCAUUAAAAUACAGAAGCAGUGUUGCAUCUGGUAACAUACUGUACUAAAUUAUGCUACCUUCAUCUACACCAGUGCCGUAACUGUGCUAUUUAAUAUUACAACACAAUCACAUUGAGGUACAGAACGAGACUAAUGUAUUUUCUUACAUUGACAGACCAAAAAAUGAUAGGUUGUUUUAUGCUAUGCUUCGUUCUGACCACAUAGAUGCUGCUAAAGUUUAAAAUGGAUUAUUUCAGGUCUCCUUAAUUUUUUUCAAAGAAAUAAUCUUGGAUUAAUAUGGAAAUCUGCAUUCAUGUACUUUAUUAAGAAAAUGGAAGACCUAAAUAAAAGCUUCUACUUGUAAAUAUACUCAUCUUUUUAACCUGUUUUGUU